RNAcentral lists this long non-coding RNA (1129 nucleotides) under Pan troglodytes (chimpanzee). RNAcentral describes it as "lincRNA". The record is from RNAcentral. Lineage: Eukaryota; Metazoa; Chordata; Mammalia; Primates; Hominidae.
AGAAAGCCUUCUCUAGCGAUCCGAGAGAAAUACUAGGCUUUAGAAUUUCACCUUAUGAAUUUUGGGAGAGAGGAGCACAGUUCAGCCCAUAACUAACACACGACGGAAUGAAGUUGAUAAUAGUGAGACCUUGUUGGUACAAGACUCUGUAACAUAACCUGCGCUUCUCAACAAAGAAUUGCUUUUCUGACUUCUGCACUCAAUAGCAAGACAAAUCUCUCCUCUGUCUUUUUCUUAUCAGACUACUCAACAUGAAGGCAAUAAGAAUGAAGACCUUUAUGUAUAAUAAUUGACUUCCACUUAAUAAAUAAGGUUACUUGGUACACUGGUCGACAAAACCUUGAAAUGUUGAUGUUUAAGGGCUGUUGAUUGCUGGCAACAAAGAAGUCCAACUGUGCUGGUACCCGAGAUAGCGUCUCCACAUUUUCUUCCAGGAUCAUCACCUUUGUUGUAAAUAGCUCCCACAUAGUGUGAACAGAAGUCAUAUGUUUUAGAUUUUCUGCCUUGGCACCCAGGAAACCAGUAUGAUUGAGUAAACAUAUUAAAUUUCCUCUGCAUUUCCAGCCUGAACAGAUGUUGAGUACAAGCUGAUCCACCUACGUUCAACCUGAGAGAGUCCACAUCCACAGACUGGUUCAUUUCCCUUUUUCAAUUUACAUAGAAGCAUAGAUUCUUGCUGGCAUAUACAAAUGCGCCAUUUAAGGCAAUCAAAAAUGGUUCCACAUCUCAUCUGAUUUCCACAAUUGUUGCUGUAACGAUGGACUACUGAGGAGAGAAACAAUUUCUCUGGCAGAUCUUCCCACGUUUUAGCAACAUGUUCAUGGAGAGCCAAUAUUCAGUAAUUACAGCACAAUUCCUCACAAUUUCACAAUUCGCUAACAAUAUGCAUUUUCACAAUGUAAAGCUGAUUUUCCUUUAACCAAAUCAAACAUGAAAAGAUAGCUGCAAGCAAUGGGCAAUCUAGAUCAUUAGAAGAUUGAUGUAAAAUUCGAGGACAUUGAGACUGGAAUAGAUUGCAAACUUCAGGGAGCUCAGAAAACUUGUAAACUCUACAUUUUGAGGAAAUAUGUUGUCGAUGCUUUUGCAGCUCUAUGCAGUAACUUAACAAAUAAAGCCUUAAAGUAACUUA